This 1669-nucleotide long non-coding RNA is filed under the name Pelobates cultripes (western spadefoot toad). Lineage: Eukaryota; Metazoa; Chordata; Amphibia; Anura; Pelobatidae. The record is from RNAcentral.
CAUAACGUAAAGUCAUGAUUUUAUUAAAGACACGGAGGCAAGUAUUAUGCUUCUCAUUCUUUUAAUUUCCCUCCGCAGCGAAGAGAGAUGUAUACAAAAGAGAAAAAAAAUCCAGAACAUUGCCUAGCAACCGUGCUACCAAUCAGCAUCAGCCACUUAGUAUAUAAGGUGCAGCACUCCAUACUUCUUCCUCUUUCUGAAGCGAUCCGAAGACCAGGCAAAAUCAACAACCGCAACAUCGAACUGAACUCGGAAAAAACGGACAGUAGCCGUACCUCCAUCCUCUGCGGAAACAACGGUUUAACUUUCUUUCAAACCUCAGGGCAUCGAUAGAAGUAGUCAAGCUAAAAAAGAAGAGAAAAAUGGUAAUAUUUCAAUAGUCAUCUGGUUGCAACAUAUAUACCAACAUAUAUAGUGACAUAUUCAUAGAGAAAAGUCAUUGGUCAUAAGACACAAAGAAUCGCCACAAAAAACCAAUGUGAGUAAUCUUACCUCUUGAGAAAAAAAACAACAAAAACGUGAACAAAACAUGUAAGUUAUCAAAUAAAAAAAGAAAGAAGAAAAAACAAAAAACAAUCCACGUCACUGAAAAAAGUGUAUCCCAACAACCCCGAACACCACGUUUACAUCCCAAAAGGAUCCAAAAGGCGUUGAAACGAAUACCUUUGAGUGGGCGACAGAUCAUAGGAUUUGGUCCGAUUGGGACACCGUCCAAGCUUUCAUGACCCGCUGAGAUAGCUGACCGGUAUAGAUUAACGAUGCAGAAGGCCUUGCCAGAUUCGAACAAGUGUGUCAGAAAAUUCAAGACCACUUUCACAGACGCUGAUUUAGGAUCCACUGAUCAUUCCAAGCACCAACUGGACCACGUUCUCCAUGUCGCAGGAUAGGAACGCCGCGUUCCUGGUGCCAAAGCGUUUGCCAGGAGCUGGUAGUCGUUCUCGAAACCUCCGUGAUUUCCCAGGAUCCCUGGAAACGAGCCACGCCAUGAGACAAAGAAGUCCCUGAUCUAUCAGACUGUGACUCUCCCGGUCUGGAUUGGUCAGAAGAAAUGCGUAAUCUGGUAAUAACCGUGGACAAUCUAUCGCCAUCUCAAACAGGUGGGGAAACCAAGGUUGAGACCUCCAGCAUGGGGUUAUAAGGACUACUGUGCCUUUGCAGCGUCGGAGGUACGCCAGAGUCUGAGCAAUCAGGUUGAACGGAGGAAAGGCAUACAAAUCGACCCGUGGUCCAAUCCUGGAGGAACGCAUCCAUCGAUAUGGCUUCUGGAUCCGGUCGCCAGCUGAAAAACGGAGGCAGCUGCGUGUUCAGUCUGGAUGCAAAAAGAUCCACAUGCAAGGGUACCCAUAGCUGAGCGAUCUUGUUGAAUACAACUGGUUGAAGUCUCCAAUCCCCCAUGUUCCUCAGGUAACGAGUGUUCCAAUCCGCAGUGUAGUUCUCUAGACCCGGUAUGUGUUCUGCGGUCACAGACACGUUGUUCUGCAGACAAUAAUGCCCGAAGUCUCGAGCCAAGACUGCUAGGAUACGUGACUUGGUGUCCCCCAGAUGGUUGAUAUAUCGAAAGGCCGAAACGUUGUCCAUACUUCUUCCUCUUUCUGAAGCGAUCCGAAGAACAGGCAAAAUCAACAACCGGCCAAUAAGCCGAUGACUCUUGCCAACUGUCUCAGUGAUA